AGAGCUUUGAGAGCCCAUAGGCUGUUUGAAACAUCUUGCGGCUUGAAGCCGUGGCCCGCCACCGUUCUCAAGCGAGAAGCCACAGCUGCCGCCAAGGUCUGCAAGUGCGGAGAUGAGGUGGGGUCCCAGCCUGAGCCCCGCUGCUGCUGGUCUUGCUUGAGCUUGCCGAGCGCGUACAUGACAAUUGCGAGGUUCUGAGGUUCCGCCUUCCCAAGAACCUCAGGAUCCACUAGCCGCUCCAGCAGAGCUGCUGCAAGCUGAGCCUCCGUGCCGCCGCCGACCAAUCCAGCUUUGCCCAGCGCCCACAGCGGAAUGCUGCAGUUCUUUGCGUUGCGGAUGCGCGGCACGAGCGGCAGGUAGGCCGGCGCAAGCAUGCCGAUAAUGCUGCUGCGUGCUACAGCCGUUUGGCUUGCUCCAGCGCGCGACUCCAGCUGCGUUCAAAGCAGUUAUGAGGGACAUACAUGGGGUCAAGUGCUAUAUGCAUGUGUUUGUGCGUGUGCGUGAACAGGUGCGCAUGCAAGUCCUGUGUGGCCAUCUGCGUCGUGAGAACCGGAAGUCCGGGCCGAGAACGACAACAAUGGACUCGCCCUCCAUUCUGCACUUCAUUUCUGUGCCCAUUCCCACCUGCACGUAUUAGUCCUCCCUCUCACCUUGCCGCACAGGUUGAACGCCGCACACAUGGUAAUGAAGUCUUUUCGGCCCUCCCACACUGAUAGCCGCUGGCUGAUGAUUGCUUGCAGCUCCUCCAGAGUCCGACACACGGUCAUGUCAUCCGCGGGGUCACGCCCGCUGCCCCUGCUUCUGCCGCUGGCGCGGCUGCCAUCGCCUGCCCUGCCUCCGCCGCUUCCCCUACCCGCCGCCGCCUGCACUAUUGGCCGCCCGAGGCGGGAGCUACUGCUGCCGCAGAGCACUACCGCCGUCGAGACGCGCAGUGGGGAUGAGCUGCUACUGUUGAGUGCUGGGACAGAAGUAGCGGCGGCAGCGCGCGGUGAGCUGGGGCCGGUGUCGGCAGCGGUCCGAUGCAUGCCAUAAACGAACAGUCUUCUAAACGCGCACGCCGGUGGCGGUGCCUGGAGACGGGCUGAUAACGAUUGGCUACAGCCAUGUACGCUGUGCCUGUGCGCACCAGCGGGAGAGCCCGCGACGACGCGCAGGGCGAGCAUCUCGGGCCUCCUCACGGCGGCGACCUGAGCUAUAGCGACUCUAUCCGUCUACGUGUCUGAGCACUGCAAAUGCAUUAGGCUUGCAUUUGUGGGAGAAUAACGCAAGGAACGAAAGGUCAGGUGCGUGUAGGUCGCUGGGCCAAAGCCGCCUGAGUAGCUGUGGCUUGGUAUGGAUGAUAAAGCAACUGAAUCAAUUUGCCACCGGUGUUGAGGCGAGGGCGACCUGACCGCGAAAUACACGGCCCGAGGGCACGCCCCGUAUCAACACCCCUCGCGACCUCCAAACACGUGCACUGAACCGCGAAGCCCUCCCCCAAGCCUAUCGCGGCUGCUAUUCCCAUGUCCUCCUCCCCAACCAUUCUGCAUACAGGCUCUGGCGUGAGUCCCUGCCCGCGUCAUUUGACACCCGUCGACCACGACUGAGGUGCAACGCAUGUCGCUUACAAAUCCAACAUCCCGCCCGACACGAGAGGGGCAGAAACGGCGGGGCAGACGGCCAGCCUCUUGAACAUGAGCAUAGCAGUGCAAUAUCGCACAUUGGGUCCCCGCCUGCUUCACCUGGCCACCUUUGCUGAUUUGUCUGACAUCCCUGUCUACACACUUUUAUCCGCCCACGCUUGAGACGUCCUCCUCAGCGCGCAGGCUUCACGGUACCAACCGUGCGGUAUCAUCGCUACAUGAUGAGUGCACUGCCCCAACCAUUGAAGCAUCACAAGGUGCUUGCCUGCCGCCGCCGCCGCUGAUACGUACACGAUUGCUGCCACACAACCAACACAUCACACCCAACAAUCACAACAACAAAACAACUGAGACCCGCCGCCGCGCAACGCACACUGCUGUACACGCCCCAGGGCCGAGAACACAACGCAACACAAGCACCUGACAUGCCUCAUCCAGGCAUGCGUCACUCAAUCGCCCACCGAGCCGACCUCGCACACGCCGUUCGUGAGCCCCUGCGGCUGACAUGCCCGGCCCUGCCCCCUUGGCACCGCAGCCCUGCCGCCUUGGCACCGCCGCCCAUUGCCCCACCCCCAUGCUGCGUGCCAUGUAAGAAUAAAGCCAGGUCCCCAUCAAGCCGCAGCAUAUAUCCCCGCCAAGCCACCACACUCCUCUUGCCGCACGCUACCAACCACCACCAGCACAGGACCGGCACCUGCCUGUCCCCCUGUUUAGUUUGGGCUGAUAUUUACAACCCCCCACCCUCCCCUCCCCACCUUCCCCAUUGCCAACCUCGCCCACCGCGCCGACAUACACGCCGGCACCUCGCUCGUGCCUCUCGAGGCCUCCCAUCUUCCGUAGCUAGAGAUCCCCAUCCACUAGCAUCCACUUGGGCUCCAGCCCACUCCUGAUGCACACGCCAGCAUUAUCCAGGUCUGCAUGGUUUGCAUGUCUGCCUACCGUGCACGCACACCUGCCUAGCUACGCCGACCUACUACCGUCCUCCUCGACCCGACCCGCCGCCGCCGCCGCCUCCCUCUGGCCGCCGUGCCGGCCGCACCAGCAGCUGCUGUUGUGGGUUGCCGCCAGAGCCGCCGCCGCCCUUGCUGGUAGUGGUGGUGGUUGCGGGCUGCUGCGGCGCGGCCGUAAUGACAGCCGCAGCGCCGCCCACGGCACCCACUGCCACUGUUUCCACCGCCACCGCCGGCUGCUGCAGCCGGCGCAGCAGGUAGGCCUCCUGCUCCUCCGGGCUCUUCAGGCCCGCCCACUCCCAGUACGGCAGCACAAGAACGCCGCCGCCCUCCCCGAACGCCCGCCGCAGCUGCCGAAUGCGCAUGGCCGUACCACCGUCAACAGCGGUGGGGUCGCGCUUUAGAUUGGACAGAAAGCGUGCCGGUCCGAGGAGCUCCACCGCCGCCUGCUGCCCGUCACUCAGCCGCACCACCGCAUCCACUGGCGCCAACGCGCCUUGCGCGACCACGCCCGUUUGUACGGACACGACGGCAAGGCCUCCUGCUGCCUCACGCCCCUGGUGCUGCUCAAGCCGCCGCAGCGCUGCGACGACCUGCUUUUGGAUGUCAGAUGUGGGCUUGGCGUUUUCCCUCUCAGCAGUCACCGCCGCUGCCAUCGCCGCCUGCAGGCCGGGGCUGCUCCCCAGGGCCGCCGCAACCUCGCCGCCUAGCUCUUGCUGCGCCUGCCACAGCUGAUUGAGAUUCUCAGUUGUAAAACCCUCCCAACGGCUUACUGCUUCACGGGCUAGCUGAAUGGAUAGCUGCUGCAUGUCGGGAGAAUACGUGCCUCCAAUCACCGCCAUGGCCCACAGGCUGUUUGAUAUGUUUUGGUUGUUUACCGCCUGCCUGUCGCGCUGCAGCAGCUCGCCCAGCCGGCCGCACACCGCCGCCUCCAAGCCAGCGUGCCGCAGCUGCAGCACCGCCAGCGCCCAGAGCGUGUUUGCACAGUUCUGACCACCGGCACUACUGGCGCGCAUGGCUGCUGCUGCUGCACCCGCAUCCAGCAGCUCCGGCGGCGGCUGGUGGCGCAUCAACGCAAGCGCGUACAGCAGGUUGGCCCAGGCCUGAGGCGUCGCACGGGCCAUGACGCCCGGCCGCAUUGCUGCGACCACCGCUGCCGAAGCCCACUGCCGCUGCUCUGCCGGCGCCUCCGGGCCCACCCCAAAUCCGAUCUUGGCCAGGGCCCACGCUGAGUUGCUGAGGUCCUGAGCCACGUACCCGGCAAAUCCCCGACGCACGUCCUCUGCGGCCACUGCCACCACCAGCUCUGCCUGCUCGCCGCCCAGCUGCAGCCCCUCCAGCGCCAGCAGGAUGUUGGACAGAUGCUGCGGCUUGAACGCUUCAGCAUCCUUCGGUGCUCGGAGCUGCCGCAGCGCCUCCCCGCACAGCGCCUCAACUGCUGAUCGGUACUCUGGUCCCAUGCAACCCAAAGCCGCAAACGCCCAGAGGGUAUUGGACAGAUGUUGCGUCUCCAUGCUGAGACUGAGCGCCGCUGCCGCCUCUGCCAGCGGCAGCAGGAGUUCCGGUUCCGGGUAACCCAGCUUGGCGCACGCCCAGAGAAUGUUGGACACGUCCUGUGCUGUGAAGCCGUGACCAACCGCCACUCCCAACCGGGAGGCCACAGCUGCCGCCAAGGUCUGCAAGUGCGGAGAUGAGGUGGGGUCCCAGCCUGAGCCCCGCUGCUCCUGGUCUUGCUUGAUCUUGCCGAGUGCGUACAUGACGUUUGUAAGACUUUGAGGUUUUGCAGUUCCAAGAACCUCUGAAUCCAACAGCCGCUCCAGCAGCGCUGCUAUGAGCUGAGCCUCCAUGGCCGAGCCGCCGCUGAUCCCUGCUUUCCCCAGCGCCCACAGCACGAUGCUGCAAUCAACCGCCUUGCGGAUGCGCGGCACGAGCGGCAG
Molecule: long non-coding RNA, 4509 nt
Filed under: Chlamydomonas reinhardtii
Lineage: Eukaryota; Viridiplantae; Chlorophyta; Chlorophyceae; Chlamydomonadales; Chlamydomonadaceae
Description: long non-coding RNA (CREI_LNC001186)
Source: RNAcentral